Molecule: ribosomal RNA, 950 nt
Filed under: Azospirillum sp. Azo_LR5
Lineage: Bacteria; Pseudomonadati; Pseudomonadota; Alphaproteobacteria; Rhodospirillales; Azospirillaceae
Description: partial 16S ribosomal RNA
Rfam family: Bacterial small subunit ribosomal RNA (bases 1-290)
Source: RNAcentral
GUGGCGCACGGGUGAGUAACACGUGGGAACCUGCCUUUCGGUUCGGGAUAACGUCUGGAAACGGACGCUAACACCGGAUACGUCCUUCGGGAGAAAGUUUACGCCGAAAGAGGGGCCCGCGUCCGAUUAGGUAGUUGGUGGGGUAAUGGGACACCUAGCCGACGAUCGGCAUCUGGUAUGAGAAGAUGAUCAGCCAGUCUGCGACUGAUCACACGGUUCACACUAUUUCGGGAGUCACCCGUGGGGUAUCUUUUUCCUUGGGUUUUCCACUCAUCCCCAAACCCGAGAGACCGUUUUUAAAGUUUUGAUUGUUUCAUUUUUUUCUGGCCCCCAUUUUGAUUUCAGAAAGGUUUUUGGGUUUGGCCCGGUGGGGGGCGAACCCCCCCCGGAAACAAAAAAUGAGCCUAAGACAUGGGGGUAAUAAUUCAAACCAGCUGGAGCCCUCACCGAAGUAAAGGCCCAGCCCGCUUUCAUAUUGUGUAAUGAUCCCUCCGCAGGUUCACCUACAGAGACCUUUUACGACUUUUUUUCAUCUAUUUAAAUACGUUCACUGAGCUAUAACUAGUUUUUUCUUUUUUAUUUCAAGAAAAGGCUUUCUCAUCAUAACUUUCGACAAACAAUACUUCUAUACUUCUGCUUUAUAUAUUAUAUUUUCCUGUUCUCCCUUCCCUCUAUUCAUUCAUAUUGUAUCCUUUAUUCUCCUCAUAUCUGUCUCCUUUAUUUUUUUUUGUAUCUUUUUACUUAAUACCUAUAAAAUUAUUUAUAGUUAUUAUUGGUAUGUUCUACCUUCUUAGUAUUGUUUGCUCUAUUAUUUAAAUUUUAAAAACUAUCCUGCCUUCUAAUUAUUUUAUGUUUUUAUUAUUAAUUUUUAUUAUUUUUACAUAAUUAUAUAGAUUAUUGGUACAUUAAAGUAUUUACCUCUAGACUUGGAGGAUAUUGUGUCUUCUGUC